AGAAGUUUAGGUUAAAUCAAACCGAGAGCCUUCAAAGCCCUAAACAUGAGCAACCACCCUCCUAACUCCUG
RNAcentral lists this transfer RNA (71 nucleotides) under Cyrtodactylus feae. RNAcentral's name for it is "tRNA-Trp". The record is from RNAcentral. Lineage: Eukaryota; Metazoa; Chordata; Lepidosauria; Squamata; Gekkonidae.